RNAcentral lists this ribosomal RNA (279 nucleotides) under uncultured bacterium. RNAcentral's name for it is "partial 16S ribosomal RNA". It matches the Rfam family "Bacterial small subunit ribosomal RNA", at positions 506 to 784 of the family's 1533-position model. The record is from RNAcentral.
UGCCAGCCGCCGCGGUAAUACGUAGGAGGCAAGCGUUGUUCGGAUUUAUUGGGCGUAAAGGGCAUGUAGGCGGUUAUAUAAGUGUGGAUUUAAAGACCGGGGCUUAACCCCGUGUAUGGUCUGCAAACUGUAUGACUGGAGUCCGGGAAGGGAGACUGGAAUUUCACGUGUAAGGGUAAUAUCUGUAGAUAUGUGAAAGAAUACCAAUGGCGAAGGCAAGUCUCUAGCCCGUGACUGACGCUAAUGUGCGAAAGUGUGGGGAGCGAACAGGAUUAGAUA